This 648-nucleotide small RNA is filed under the name Pan troglodytes (chimpanzee). RNAcentral describes it as "processed transcript". Lineage: Eukaryota; Metazoa; Chordata; Mammalia; Primates; Hominidae. The record is from RNAcentral.
AGUUUGGGACCAAGGAGAAGAGAAUGGAUCUUGGAACAGCUGAGGGCACCCGGUGCACGGACCCGCCUGCAGGCAAGCCCGCCAUGGCGCCCAAGCGCAAGGGUGGCCUGAAGCUGAACGCCAUCUGCGCCAAGCUGAGCCGCCAGGUGGUGGUGGAGAAGCGAGCUGACGCCGGAUCCCACGCGGAGGGCAGCCCAUCGCGGCCCCGGGACCAAGAGCGCAGUGGCCCUGAGUCUGGGGCAGCCCGGGCCCCCCGCAGCGAGGAAGACAAGAGACGGGCGGUGAUCGAGAAGUGGGUGAACGGGGAGUACAGCGAGGAGCCGGCACCCACACCCGUGUUGGGGCGGAUUGCCCGCGAGGGCCUGGAGCUGCCUCCCGAGGGUGUCUACAUGGUGCAGCCCCAGGGGUGCAGCGAUGAGGAAGACCACGCGGAGGAGCCCUCCAAGGACGGCGGUGCCCUGGAGGAGAAGGAUUCGGACGGGGCAGCCUCCAAGGAGGACAGCGGCCCCAGCACCAGGCAGGCUUCAGGCCAAGGCGAGAGAGCGGAGACAUUUAUGAAACUUUGUUUAAUGUACUGAAAAGCCAUCGGCCAGAACAUUUAGGAAAUUGAUUUUCCUGGCAUUGAUGAACUCGUUUUAUUUUACCCCA